UCAAAUGCAAAGAAGAGGAUAAGUAGAUCCGGAAAAUGCCGUUCAGAGAACUGCCGGUUGGUGCGAGGCAGCGGACAUUCGAAUCAAAAUAAUCACCUCUGAGCAGGCCCCCGAAAUAAAAGUAGACGGGCCCGGGAUUCUACCGUUACAAAGAAGCAUCGUUGUUGGACGAUGGCUAAGAGGACGUUUUUUGUAAACGUUAAUCAGGGUGGUAACGCGGAGUGGACUCCGUCCCUUAU
This 239-nucleotide non-coding RNA is filed under the name Paenibacillus sp. Its description in RNAcentral is "T-box sequence". It matches the Rfam family "T-box leader". From Rfam's summary of the family: Uncharged tRNA acts as the effector for transcription antitermination of genes in the T-box leader family. The record is from RNAcentral. Lineage: Bacteria; Bacillati; Bacillota; Bacilli; Caryophanales; Paenibacillaceae.